ACGGGUGAGUAACGCGUGGGUAACCUGCCUCANAGGAGGGAUAANAUAGAAAUGGCUGCUAAUACCGCAUAAGCGCACAGAGCUGCAUGGCUCAGUGUGAAAAACUCCGGUGGUAUAAGAUGGACCCGCGUUGGAUUAGCUUGUUGGUGGGGUAACGGCCCACCAAGGCGACGAUCCAUAGCCGGCCUGAGAGGGUGAACGGCCACAUUGGGACUGAGACACGGCCCAGACUCCUACGGGAGGCAGCAUG
This 250-nucleotide ribosomal RNA is filed under the name uncultured bacterium. RNAcentral's name for it is "partial 16S ribosomal RNA". It matches the Rfam family "Bacterial small subunit ribosomal RNA", at positions 102 to 353 of the family's 1533-position model. The record is from RNAcentral.